AUGUGCCCCUUGAGUAAGGCCCUUAUUGCUCCUGUAACAGUUCCCAAACCCGUCCAGCCACCCUCUAGUGAGGAGCUGUCCAGUAAGUCAAUAGCCACGCUGAUGUGUCUAGCCAACAAGGGCUUCCCCUCAGACUGGACCAUGAGCUGGAAAGUGGACGGGACCAGCAAGAAGCAGGAGGCCAGUCCCGGGGUCCUGGAGAAGGACGGCCUGUACAGCUGGAGCAGCACACUGACUCUCACUGCCCAGGAGUGGACCAAGGCAGGAGAGGUGACCUAUGAAUUCCAGCAGAAAUCCCAGACUCCAGUCACAAAGACCCUGAGGAGGGCUGACUGUUCUGGGUAGGACCCCUCAGUCACACACCCCUGUGGAGAGAGGAUGCUGGUUCCUCUGCUUUGACUAGCUUUGUUCUAAAAUCAGU
This is a non-coding RNA of Coregonus clupeaformis (lake whitefish), 421 nucleotides long. NCBI's taxonomy places the organism in Eukaryota, Metazoa, Chordata, Actinopteri, Salmoniformes, Salmonidae. The record is from the annotation of a RefSeq genome assembly.